Molecule: ribosomal RNA, 377 nt
Filed under: uncultured bacterium
Lineage: Bacteria
Description: partial 16S ribosomal RNA
Rfam family: Bacterial small subunit ribosomal RNA
Source: RNAcentral
CCUACGGGCGGCAGCAGUGGGGGAUAUUGCACAAUGGGCGCAAGCCUGAUGCAGCGACGCCGCGUGAGCGAAGAAGUAUUUCGGUAUGUAAAGCUCUAUCAGCAGGGAAGAAAAUGACGGUACCUGACUAAGCAGCUCCGGCUAAAUACGUGCCAGCAGCCGCGGUAAUACGUAUGGGGCAAGCGUUAUCCGGAUUUACUGGGGUGAAAGGGAGCGUAGGCGGGCCUGUAAGUCCGAUGUUAAAAUUUGGGGGUCAACCCCAAACGUGCAGUGGAAACUGCAGGGCUUGAGUGGCGGAGAGGCAGGCGGAAUUCCUGGUGUAGCGGUGAAAUGCGUAGAUAUUAGGAGGAACCCCAGUGGCGAAGGCGGCCUGCCGG